UCAAUAAAAUGGAGCAGUGGUUAGCAAAUUUUAGCUUAGAGAAAAGAAAAAUAUGGCGACUUCUCUUUCAUCGUCUCUGCUGCAUUCACAGUGUGGAUCCUUCCUUGCCACUGCUGUAGUCUCUCGCUCUGCCACUGCCACUGCCACCCGUCUCCACCCCAAAACCAAAAGCCUCAACAACACUGUAAAUUCCUAUAUUUCCUGCUGCAACAACCCCGGAAAGCCCAGAGAGCAAUCUUUGAGCAAAAGGAGAGAGCUUUUGCUUCAAGCUGGCAUUGUUGCAUUCUCCCUUUCCGCAUUUCCUUCAGUUGCAUUUGCUGCAGAUAAUGUUGCAGUGAAGGAGUCUCCUCGUGUUUAUUCUGAUGAUGUCAACAAGUUUAAGAUAUUGAUUCCAGCCGAUUGGGAGGUGGGAACAGGAGAAGGCGAUGGAGUGAGGUCACUGAUUGCCUUCUAUCCUCAAGAAGCUUCAAACUCAAAUGUCAGUAUAGUGAUCACAAGCCUUGGUGCUGACUUUACCAGAUUGGAAUCUUUUGGAAAAGUUGAUGAAUUUGCAGAGAAUCUGGUGAGUGGAUUGGACCGAAGCUGGAAACGGCCUCCUGGAGUAGCAGCAAAACUCAUAGAUAGCAAAUCUGCUAAUGGGUUGUACUACAUUGAUUACACACUCCAAAAUCCUGGACAAAGUCUCAGGCAUCUAUUCACAGUGCUCGGAAUAGCAAACAACGGUUUUUACAACCGGCUGUAUACUAUUACUGGACAGUUUGUAGAUGAGGAGGCAGAGAAAUAUGGUGCCGAAGUUGAGAAGGCUGUUGCGUCUUUCAGGCUCAUGUAAUUGGCAACGGUGUGUCUUCUGGUUUGUCAUUUUGGUGCAUGCGUGCUUGUCAAUAAUGGGUCAAAGCUAGCUAGUGCAGACACACUUACUUGUUCUAGAAUGAAUGGUAUGGUAUGGUUGGAUGUUUAAAUGGCAAACGUCUGCUGGCUGGCUAUAUGAACAGAAGCAACAACGAUUAAUUUGCGUGCAGAGUAGAGUAUUAUUUUGUAUUUAGGCUCAUUUUCUUUCCAAUUCUUUCUGAAGAACAAAUGCCUUGAAUUUGUAGAAUCACACUUUGGACUUAACAGCGCAGCACAAUUUGCGAA
Ipomoea triloba (trilobed morning glory) is the source of this 1134-nucleotide RNA transcript. It is a transcript of the gene named psbP domain-containing protein 3, chloroplastic, with no coding region annotated. NCBI's taxonomy places the organism in Eukaryota, Viridiplantae, Streptophyta, Magnoliopsida, Solanales, Convolvulaceae. The record is from RefSeq and is a predicted model, not a curated record. The transcript is spliced from 11 exons.